This 1485-nucleotide ribosomal RNA is filed under the name Nunduva fasciculata FCME C1290-M9. RNAcentral describes it as "bacterial SSU rRNA". It matches the Rfam family "Bacterial small subunit ribosomal RNA". The record is from RNAcentral. Lineage: Bacteria; Bacillati; Cyanobacteriota; Cyanophyceae; Nostocales; Rivulariaceae.
AGAGUUUGAUCCUGGCUCAGGAUGAACGCUGGCGGCGUGCCUAACACAUGCAAGUCGAACGGUCUCCUCGGAGAUAGUGGCGGACGGGUGAGUAACGCGUGAGAAUCUGCCUUUAGGUUCGGGACAACAGUUGGAAACGACUGCUAAUACCGAAUGUGUCGCAAGAUGAAAGAUUAAUUGCCUAAAGAUGAGCUCGCGUCCGAUUAGCUAGUUGGAGUGGUAAAAGCACACCAAGGCGACGAUCGGUAGCUGGUCUGAGAGGAUGACCAGCCACACUGGGACUGAGACACGGCCCAGACUCCUACGGGAGGCAGCAGUGGGGAAUUUUCCGCAAUGGGCGAAAGCCUGACGGAGCAACGCCGCGUGAGGGAGGAAGGCUCUUGGGUUGUAAACCUCUUUUCUCAAGGAAGAUAGUGACGGUACUUGAGGAAUCAGCAUCGGCUAACUCCGUGCCAGCAGCCGCGGUAAUACGGAGGAUGCAAGCGUUAUCCGGAAUAAUUGGGCGUAAAGCGUUCGUAGGUGGUUUUGUAAGUCUGCUGUUAAAGCGUGUAGCUCAACUACAUAUAGGCAGUGGAAACUACAAGACUUGAGUGCGUUCGGGGUAGAGGGAAUUCCUGGUGUAGCGGUGAAAUGCGUAGAGAUCAGGAAGAACACCGGUGGCGAAGGCGCUCUACUAGACCGCAACUGACACUGAGGGACGAAAGCUAGGGGAGCGAAUGGGAUUAGAUACCCCAGUAGUCCUAGCUGUAAACGAUGGAUACUAGGCGUUGUCUGUAUCGACCCGGACAGUGCCGUAGCUAACGCGUUAAGUAUCCCGCCUGGGGAGUACGCACGCAAGUAUGAAACUCAAAGGAAUUGACGGGGGCCCGCACAAGCGGUGGAGUAUGUGGUUUAAUUCGAUGCAACGCGAAGAACCUUACCAAGGCUUGACAUGUCCGGAAGUUCUGGGAAACCAGAAUGUGCCUUCGGGAGCCGGAACACAGGUGGUGCAUGGCUGUCGUCAGCUCGUGUCGUAAGAUGUUGGGUUAAGUCCCGCAACGAGCGCAACCCUCGUCCUUAGUUGCCAUCACUUCGAGUGGGCACUUUGGGGAGACUGCCGGUGACAAACCGGAGGAAGGUGGGGAUGACGUCAAGUCAUCAUGCCCCUUACGUCUUGGGCUACACACGUACUACAAUGCUAUGGACAAAGAGCAGCCAACUAGCGAUAGUGCGCUAAUCUCAUAAACCAUGGCUCAGUUCAGAUUGCAGGCUGCAACUCGCCUGCAUGGAGCAGGAAUCGCUAGUAAUUGCAGGUCAGCAUACUGCAGUGAAUUCGUUCCCGGGCCUUGUACACACCGCCCGUCACACCAUGGAAGUUGGUCACGCCCGAAGUCGUUACCCUAACCUAUUGGAGGGGGACGCUGAAGGUAGGACUGAUGACUGGGGUGAAGCCGUAACAAGGUAGCCGUGCCGGAAGGUGUGGCUGGAUCACCUCCUUUUCAGGGA